Toxorhynchites rutilus septentrionalis is the source of this 763-nucleotide long non-coding RNA. RefSeq lists it as uncharacterized. The transcript has 3 exons. Lineage: Eukaryota; Metazoa; Arthropoda; Insecta; Diptera; Culicidae. The record is from RefSeq and is a predicted model, not a curated record.
AGCGCGCAUGUGUUACACACACAAAGAAGUUAGUAAUAAACUAUUCUCAAUUUGUUCGAUGUUCGGAAGUUUUUUUUUCACAUUUCUUGUUUUUAAAAGUUCAAAAAAUCGUAAGUCAAGCCGACGAUAAACAAGAUAGUGUACCGCAUUUUCACUGCAGCAAUAUAUCGAAGUGCCACGUCUCGCGAUACCGGAGCAGAAAAAUUUUGAAAUUUUUGUCGAAAGUCGGAUAACUUUCCACCGUUUUCCGACCAAAAAAAUUGCUGAGACGGGAAUGGUUAAACUUUUUCGGAUACAAAAGCUCGUUCGAUACGCGAAACAUUCAGAUUCUUUUGAGGAUACUGUUUUAACCUAUAAUCAGCAAAGAAGACGUCUUCGUACUGGAGCUAUUCCAUGCAUUUGCCUCUUGGAUCUUCCAAAAAGUUUCUUUCCAAUGGUUUCAAACUAAAUUCCAAAUUUAUAAUUCAAUUCUUGCGAAAAUGCAAAUUAUUUAUUUGCAAUCACUUCGGAAGAUGACCCGGGAUGGAGGAAAUGUUUUUUCUCGUUUUCCAGAAACGCCAAUUUGGUCCCUUAAGUGGCUGAACACUCCAAACCGAAACCAAUGAGAGCGUCGGAUGGUUCUUGAUGGAUACUUCAAUAAAAGAGAAAAAAACAGCAGUGUGGGAAUUAAUCUUUCAUUAUAUAAUCAAUUUGCGGGAACGACACUGCUUCGAUAUAACCUAAUACAUUUGUUCACCGUUUUUUGCUUUAUUUCUAUAAUAAA